This 468-nucleotide ribosomal RNA is filed under the name uncultured bacterium. RNAcentral's name for it is "partial 16S ribosomal RNA". It matches the Rfam family "Bacterial small subunit ribosomal RNA", at positions 28 to 507 of the family's 1533-position model. The record is from RNAcentral.
GACGAACGCUGGCGGCGUGCUUAACACAUGCAAGUCGAACGGAAAGGCCCUGCUUUUGUGGGGUGCUCGAGUGGCGAACGGGUGAGUAACACGUGAGUAACCUGCCCUUGACUUUGGGAUAACUUCAGGAAACUGGGGCAAAUACCGGAUAGGAGCUCCUGCUGCCUGGUGGGGGUUGGAAAGUUUCGGCGGUUGGGGAUGGACUCGCGGCUUAUCAGCUUGUUGGUGGGGUAGUGGCUUACCAAGGCUUUGACGGGUAGCGGGCCUGAGAGGGUGACGGGCCACAUUGGGACUGAGCUACGGCCCAGACUCCUACGGGAGGCAGCAGUGGGGAAUAUUGCACAAUGGGCGGAAGCCUGAUGCAGCAACGCCGCGUGCGGGAUGACGGCCUUCGGGUUGUAAACCGCUUUCGCCUGUGACGAAGCGUGAGUGACGGUAAUGGGUAAAGAAGCACCGGCUAACUACGUG